This 1506-nucleotide long non-coding RNA is filed under the name Bos indicus x Bos taurus (hybrid cattle). RNAcentral's name for it is "lncRNA (ENSBIXG00000019019.1)". Lineage: Eukaryota; Metazoa; Chordata; Mammalia; Artiodactyla; Bovidae. The record is from RNAcentral.
GGAGACCAGUGGGGCCUCCUCUGGGAUCUACAUUCGGAGCCCCGUGCCCUUGCCAUAACGGAGGUGAACUGGCAGUGUCCAAGGAACUACCCUGAGAUCCCGGAGUCUAGCAGAGGCACCCUGAUGGCGAGGGGUGCAUGGCCCACGCUACCCCAGAGGAGAAGCCGCUGGAAGAAGCCUCGCUUGUCAAAAGCCAGCGGCAGUGUGCUGGGCCUUCCGCCCUGGCCUCUCUGUAGUUCGAAUUGCUUCCCUGCGGGGAUCCCAACCCUGACAGAGCCCCUACUGCUGGAGGGUGUCCAGUCUGGAGCCCCCUCACCGCCCUGGAUGGAGAAGGCACUCUCUGCCCGGCUCUGGUGCCCACCGACUGCCACCUCCACUGUUUCCAGCCCUCGAGAUUGAGGCUGUGGGCUUGACCUCCCUCCUUUGAGCCAGGUGGGAGAUGGCCCCGGAUUGCCGGCCCAAACUGGCGGCCCAGAAAGCGCAGGAGGCGCCCGGUGACUCCUUCCCCGCGGCGCGCCAAGCGGGCCGAACUCCGCGGCUGAGUCGCGCGGCUCCAGUCACCGCGCGCGGGCUCGGGCUCCGGCCUCGGAGAGCGGUAAACGGAAUCGGUUUCCCACGGUUUCCCCCUUCAUCCCAGGGCCUUUCAAAAGCCGCUCACGAAUUCCGUCGUCCAGUUUGCGCGGAUUCUGAGCCUCGCAUUCACCCAGUGCCACCUGGAAAGGGGACCCUCGAGCCUCCCGCAUUCCCGGGCCUCCAGCCCGUGCACACGGGGAGCAACUUCGUUCCCCUGAGCGCCCUGGCCCCACGACGCGGGCAGAGCUCCGCCCGGUAAAGGUGGCACUGUGGUCGCUCCGGAAUGCUGCCCGCGUGGACGCGGCCGCCGCCUUCUGCUCCCGGUUCCGGCUGCGCGCGGGCAGAGCCCUGGAAACAACGAAAACGGCGAGCAGCGUUGCUUUCCGGAUGUCGGAGUCCCGGAAGCCUCUGGGUGCGAGCCGGUCCUCCGCGUCCCCAGACGUCCCAGGGCCGAGCUCACCGCCGGGCCGCCGGUACCGAAACAGACUCCCCCAGUCGGCUUGCCGGCAAUCCACGCCUCGACGUGACCCCAGAGGAGGACCUGCGGGGAGAUGCUUCUCCGAGCCUCAGUUUCCCCACCUGUGCAACGGGGCCAUAAGUUCCUGCGCCCCUCCCAGGGUUGAUAUGGGAUUGGCAGGGAGAGAGGACCUGGAAAACGCCCGACGGGGCCCAGUUCUGCCCACCCUUUGGGGCCAGGUUUGCGCCGGUGGGGUUCAGCUGUCGUGCACAGACUCGAAGGGGCCCAGGUUGCGCCUAGCGAUCGCCGUCCUCCUUCCAUCUCCUCCAUCUCCCCCCGCCGCCCUCACCCCGGAACUUCCCUCUCCGCGGGCGCAGUGGUGGAGGUGUGAGGGUCCCGCUUGGCGCCCAGGCGUCUCCGCUCAGCCUCUGGCCGGGGUGUUGCUCGCCCUGGGCGGCUCUCUCAGGUUCCUUUGA